RNAcentral lists this long non-coding RNA (759 nucleotides) under Arabidopsis thaliana (thale cress). RNAcentral describes it as "potential natural antisense gene, locus overlaps with AT4G01595 (AT4G01593)". The record is from RNAcentral. Lineage: Eukaryota; Viridiplantae; Streptophyta; Magnoliopsida; Brassicales; Brassicaceae.
GAAUCUACACAAUGAUGCCUGAUCCUAUUGUGGUUCAGUUUGGGAGAGAACUUGUUGAAAUAAAAUCAAAAGGUUAUCUUUCACAAGAUCUAACAAGUUCAGUUGGUCUUGAAAGGAAAUGCCGUGAGAUUGUUGUAACAGAUGAAAGGGAGAGAAGAUCGUGGGCAUUGGAUCUGAGGUUCUAAGAAUCUAAUUACAAAGUGAAAAAGACAGAAUAGAGACCUCUGUAGGAGUCGGUCGAUCGAAAGCCAACAGCCUCUGCAAAAGACGGAGUGCUAAUGGAUCUGCUUUAGAGAAUUUUUGCGAGAAGAAAUUGCAUCUGAUUUUGGUGUGCCAAGAAGAUCAGUAAUCAACUCCAACUGAUGGACAACACUUUUUCCCGGAAACAAUGGCUUCCAUGUUAGUACCUCUGCAAAGAUGCAGCCAAUGCUCCAAACGUCGAUAGCUGGAGUGUACUGCAGAAUAAUAUUAACUAUCAACGAUGUAACAUAAGGAGACAAGAACAACAAAGAAAACUGUAUGGAGCUUCACCAAGCCAAGUUGAUUAUAUACAUCUGUUGAAACCGAGUUGAUCAUGCCUCACCCGGAUGUCAAGCCAAUGGCAUAUGCAAACAAUGAUUAAAGAUGUUCUCUCUUCCUUUAAGCUUAUCCAGCAACAGUUAUUCUCAUGUAGAUUCAGUUUUUCCCUUUUUCAAUUUUUUUUUGUUUUAGAAACCCACUUAAGGAUUCCAUCAAUGGUCAAUAAAAUUUUCAAAAACU